GAUGAACGCUGGCGGCGUGCCUAAUACAUGCAAGUAGAACGCUGAAGGAGGAGCUUGCUCUUCUGGAUGAGUUGCGAACGGGUGAGUAACGCGUAGGUAACCUGCCUGGUAGCGGGGGAUAACUAUUGGAAAGGAUAGCUAAUACAGCAUGACAACAGGUAUAGCAUGAUAACUGUUUAAAAGGGGCAACUGCUCCGCUACCAGAUGGACCUGCGUUGUAUUAGCUAGUUGGUGCGGUAACGGCUCACAAAGGCGACGAUACAUAGCCGACCUGAGAGGGUGAUCGGCCCCCCUGGGACUGAGAAACGGCCCAGACUCCUACCGGAGGCAGCAGUAGGGAAUCUUCGGCCAUGGACGGAAGUCUGACCGAGCACCGCCGCGUGAGUGAAGAAGGUUUUCGGAUCGUAAAGCUAUGUUGUAUGAGAAGAACGAGUGUGAGGGUGGAAAGUUCACACUGUGACGGUAUCUUACGAGAAAGGGCCGGCUAACUACGUG
This 495-nucleotide ribosomal RNA is filed under the name uncultured bacterium. Its description in RNAcentral is "partial 16S ribosomal RNA". It matches the Rfam family "Bacterial small subunit ribosomal RNA", at positions 28 to 507 of the family's 1533-position model. The record is from RNAcentral.